CAAUAGCGUAUAUUAAAGCUGUUGCAGUUAAAAGCUCGUAGUCGGAUCUCGGGCGGCGGCCAAUGGUUCGGUUCCGUGCCGAUACUGCUGGUCGCGGCCUCCACGCCGGUCGUCUUUCGGUGCUCUUAACUGAGUGCCUUAAGUAGCCGGAGCGUUUACUUUGAAAAAUUAGAGUGUUCAAGGCAGGCCUCGAGCCUGAAUGAUGGUGCAUGGAAUAAUGGAAUAGGACCUCGGUUCUAUUUUGUUGGUCUUCGGAACUGGAGGUAAUGAUUAAUAGGGACGGACGGGGGCAUUCGUAUUGCGGCGUUAGAGGUGAAAUUCUUGGAUCGUCGCAAGACGGACUACUGCGAAAGCAUUUGCCAAGAAUGUUUUCAUUGAUCAAGAGCGAAAGUCAGAGGAUCGAAGACGAUCAGAUACCGU
RNAcentral lists this ribosomal RNA (420 nucleotides) under uncultured eukaryote. RNAcentral describes it as "SSU rRNA". It matches the Rfam family "Eukaryotic small subunit ribosomal RNA", at positions 592 to 1018 of the family's 1831-position model. The record is from RNAcentral.